Molecule: ribosomal RNA, 651 nt
Filed under: uncultured bacterium
Lineage: Bacteria
Description: bacterial SSU rRNA
Rfam family: Bacterial small subunit ribosomal RNA
Source: RNAcentral
AGUUUGAUCCUGGCUCAGAAUGAACGUUGGCGGCGUGGAUUAGGCAUGCAAGUCGAACGAAUCCCCGCAAGGGGGAAGUGGCGAAAGGGGCAGUAAGGCGUAGACAACCUGCCCCAGGCACUGGGAUAGCCUUCCUAACGGUUGGGUAAUACCAGAUUCGCUCCCGCAGAGGCAUCUCGGCGGGAGGAAAGCUACGGCGGCCUGGGAGGGGUUUACGUGAUAUUAGCUAGUUGGUGGGGUAACGGCUCACCAAGGCCAAGAUGUCUAGCAGGUGUGAGAGCACGACCUGCGCCACUGGCACUGGGACACUGGCCAGACUCCUACGGGAGGCUGCAGUCGAGAAUCUUCGGCAAUGAGCGCAAGUUGACCGAGCGACGCCGCGUGAGCAUGAAGGCCUUCGGGUUGUAAAGCUCUGUCGGGGGGGAGAAAAGGCAACUUGAUCGACCCCCGGAGGAAGGACGGGCUAAGUUCGUGCCAGCAGCCGCGGUAAGACGAACCGUCCAAACGUUAUUCGGAAUCACUGGGCUUAAAGGGUGCGUAGGCGGAGAGGCAAGUCAGAGGUGAAGGCCACGGCUCAACCCUGGAAGUGCCCUGAUACGGCUCCUCUUGCAGGAGAUAGGGGGGUGCGGACUUAGAGUGGGCGGUGAAAUG